This is a long non-coding RNA of Nicotiana attenuata, 1130 nucleotides long. RefSeq lists it as uncharacterized. The transcript has 7 exons. NCBI's taxonomy places the organism in Eukaryota, Viridiplantae, Streptophyta, Magnoliopsida, Solanales, Solanaceae. The record is from RefSeq and is a predicted model, not a curated record.
UAGUACCAUCAAAACAUAGCAAAGAUCUAAUCUCCGCCUACUUUAGCGCCUGUUUCCAUCAAAACACAGUAAACCCUCUGUUUAUCUGUAUUUUCUCAAAACACAGAUUGUGAAUCUGGUCGUGUGUGAAUUCAACUCUGCCCUAGUUUCCAUGUCGCUCGUUUGAGAAUCCUAGGUUAAAUUUGAGAGUGUUGACAUGAAUGAUCAUCGUGAUCAUAUCUUCGGAUGGAUGAAAGAGUUAUGGAACAAGAGGACACUUGCAUGCAAAAUAUGUGAAGGAUAAGCCAAUCCAACAGGCUCUUAAGAAUAUUCCAAAGGGACUAGACAAGAAAGAAUGUGAGUGGUUAAUAAAGGAACAUUUUUCUUCAGAAAGUUUUCAGGCGAGAAGCAACAUAAAUGCGGCAAAUCGAGCUAAGUUGAAGACGCUUCAUCAUAUUGGUAGCAAGCUAUUCGAGAGAUUAUUUAUCAAAAGAUGGCAAUCCACCAGAUUAGGCAAUAAUUUUCUUCGAGACCCAUAAAAAAGAUAACAAGCUUGUUGAACCUGAAGCAAUUGAAAAACAUGCUCAAUCGAAGAAAUAAUUCAAUCAGAUCCAUCUCUACCUAUCAUAGAGAUUAUAGAAAAAUGUUGUGGACCUCAAACUCGUAGCCAUGUGUUUGGCUUUGGGGGUGGAGUAAAGGUGAAAGACUUGAAAGGUGGAACUUCUUCAAAUACUGAAUUAGUGUCCGCGUUACGUUCAACUCGAGAAGACAACAAGUCUUUGAAUGAGGAAAACAAAUCCUUGCAAGAGCGCUUGUCUACCUUAGAAGAUGACAUGAAAGAAAUGAAGAAAAUGAAAGAGUUCUUCGCUGCUCAACAAUCACAUGUCCCGCUUACGACAUCGCCCGUUUCAACUGAAUGAACACUGUUUUGUCUACUGACCAACCUUGUUGAUGUUGCUCUAUAACACCUGGUGAAUUUAGACUGCUUUUGGGUUUUGAAGAUUGAAGCUACAAAUCAAGAUGCAAGUUUAGAAGAUGCACAAGCUCAUUUAUUAUUUUGUUAGGACUGUUAUUCAAAACUUGAUAUCCUAUCAGGAUGUUAGCUAAGUUUUUUAGUUAAGGUGUUGAGCAAAUAUAAAAACUAACAUCAU